GUCGAGCGGAAGGCCCUUCGGGGUACUCGAGCGGCGAACGGGUGAGUAACACGUGAGCAACCUGCCCCAGGCUUUGGGAUAACCCCGGGAAACCGGGGCUAAUACCGAAUAUGACCUCUGACCGCAUGGUUGGUGGUGGAAAGUUUUUCGGCUUGGGAUGGGCUCGCGGCCUAUCAGCUUGUUGGUGGGGUGAUGGCCUACCAAGGCGACGACGGGUAGCCGGCCUGAGAGGGCGACCGGCCACACUGGGACUGAGACACGGCCCAGACUCCUACGGGAGGCAGCAGUGGGGAAUAUUGCACAAUGGGCGGAAGCCUGAUGCAGCGACGCCGCGUGAGGGAUGACGGCCUUCGGGUUGUAAACCUCUUUCAGCAGGGACGAAGCGUAAGUGACGGUACCUGCAGAAGAAGCGCCGGCCAACUACGUGCCAGCAGCCGCGGUAAGACGUAGGGCGCGAGCGUUGUCCGGGAUUUAUUGGGCGUAAAGAGCUCGUAGGCGGCUUGUCGCGUC
This 510-nucleotide ribosomal RNA is filed under the name uncultured Micromonospora sp. Its description in RNAcentral is "bacterial SSU rRNA". It matches the Rfam family "Bacterial small subunit ribosomal RNA", at positions 61 to 589 of the family's 1533-position model. The record is from RNAcentral. Lineage: Bacteria; Bacillati; Actinomycetota; Actinomycetes; Micromonosporales; Micromonosporaceae.